AGAGUUUGAUCCUGGCUCAGAACGAACGCUGGCGGCGUGCUUAACACAUGCAAGUCGAGUGCGCGGUUGUAGCAAUACAACUGGCGCACGGCGCACGGGUGCGUAACACGUGGGCAAUCUGCCCUUCGAUGGGGAAUAACUCCGGGAAACCGAAGCUAAUUCCGCAUAACAUUCCUUGGACCUCGGUUCGAGGACUCAAAGCCGUAAGGCGUCGAAGGAGGAGCCCGCGCACGAUUAGCUAGUUGGUAGGGUAACGGCCUACCAAGGCUUUGAUCGUUAGCUGGUCUGAGAGGAUGGCCAGCCACACUGGAACUGAGACACGGUCCAGACUCCUACGGGAGGCAGCAGUGGGGAAUCUUGCACAAUGGGCGAAAGCCUGAUGCAGCGACGCCGCGUGGGGGAUGAAGCAUUUCGGUGUGUAAACCCCUUUCGACCCGGACGAAUGCCUCGCAAGAGGAGUGACGGUACGGGUAUAAGAAGCCCCGGCUAACUACGUGCCAGCAGCCGCGGUAAGACGUAGGGGGCCAGCGUUGUUCGGAAUUACUGAGUGUAAAGGGUUCGUAGGCGGUGUGGCAAGUUGGGAGUGAAAUCUCUGGGCUCAACCCAGAGGCUGCUUCCAAAACUGCUGUGCUUGAGUGUGGGAGAGGCGCGUGGAAUUGCAGGUGUAGCGGUGAAAUGCGUAGAUAUCUGCAGGAACACCCGUGGCGAAAGCGGCGCGCUGGACCACAACUGACGCUGAGGAACGAAAGCUAGGGGAGCAAACAGGAUUAGAUACCCCCGUAGUCC
This 786-nucleotide ribosomal RNA is filed under the name uncultured bacterium. RNAcentral describes it as "bacterial SSU rRNA". It matches the Rfam family "Bacterial small subunit ribosomal RNA", at positions 8 to 796 of the family's 1533-position model. The record is from RNAcentral.